Molecule: ribosomal RNA, 354 nt
Filed under: Triticum aestivum (bread wheat)
Lineage: Eukaryota; Viridiplantae; Streptophyta; Magnoliopsida; Poales; Poaceae
Description: partial small subunit ribosomal RNA
Source: RNAcentral
AUGGAUAACAUGGGUUGGCCGUCCCAAAAAAACAAUAGGCCUUAUAUUCAAGUUGCCACGAAUGCCCUGCGAGAAACAGGUUUUGAGGGGCAGCAUUUUCCAACAAUACAUGAAAUCAUUCUAGAAAUUUUGCGCUUACAGAUAUAUCUGGUUUCUCCACGAUAUUCCCAUCAUAUUUCUCCCCGGUCUCUGUCUUCUCAUAAUCUUUCUCGUCCUCGUUCGUAUCCCCCUCUCCGUCUUCCCUCUUAUCCACCUCUUUCUCCUCAGGUACUAAGAGAUCCUUCAGAGGCCUCUUCUCUUCUCUAUUCCUCUUCCUUCUUUCCAUUCUCGUUAGUGUAUAGAUUGAAUCUCUGA